GACGAACGCUGGCGGCGUGCUUAACACAUGCAAGUCGAACGGAAAGGCCCUGCUUUUGUGGGGUGCUCGAGUGGCGAACGGGUGAGUAACACGUGAGUAACCUGCCCUUGACUUUGGGAUAACUUCAGGAAACUGGGGCUAAUACCGGAUAGGAGCUCCUGCUGCAUGGUGGGGGUUGGAAAGUUUCGGCGGUUGGGGAUGGACUCGCGGCUUAUCAGCUUGUUGGUGGGGUAGUGGCUUACCAAGGCUUUGACGGGUAGCCGGCCUGAGAGGGUGACCGGCCACCUUGGGACUGAGAUACGGCCCAGACUCCUACGGGAGGCAGCAGUGGGGAAUAUUGCACAAUGGGCGGAAGCCUGAUGCAGCAACGCCGCGUGCGGGAUGACGGCCUUCGGGUUGUAAACCGCUUCCGCCUGUGACGAAGCGUGAGUGACGGUAAUGGGUAAAGAAGCACCGGCUAACUACGUG
This 468-nucleotide ribosomal RNA is filed under the name uncultured bacterium. RNAcentral describes it as "partial 16S ribosomal RNA". It matches the Rfam family "Bacterial small subunit ribosomal RNA", at positions 28 to 507 of the family's 1533-position model. The record is from RNAcentral.